RNAcentral lists this transfer RNA (85 nucleotides) under Rhizobium gallicum bv. gallicum R602sp. Its description in RNAcentral is "tRNA-Leu (TAG) (tRNA-Leu-TAG-1-1)". It matches the Rfam family "tRNA". Rfam says of the family: Transfer RNA (tRNA) molecules are approximately 80 nucleotides in length. Lineage: Bacteria; Pseudomonadati; Pseudomonadota; Alphaproteobacteria; Hyphomicrobiales; Rhizobiaceae. The record is from RNAcentral.
GCGGAUGUGGCGGAAUUGGUAGACGCAAUGGAUUUAGGUUCCAUCGCCUUACAGCGUGGGGGUUCGAGUCCCUUCAUCCGCACCA